UUACGGUCAAAUCACGCUGAAAACACCGGUUCUCGUUCGAUCACCGAAGUUAAGCAUCGUAGAGCCAGGUCAGUAGUUAGAUGGGGACCGCUUGGGAACACCUGGUACUGUAAGC
Molecule: ribosomal RNA, 115 nt
Filed under: Acanthosepion pharaonis
Lineage: Eukaryota; Metazoa; Mollusca; Cephalopoda; Sepiida; Sepiidae
Source: RNAcentral